GCCCCGGUAGUAUAGCCUGGUCAAGUAUGCGGGCCUCUCGAGCUUUUGGGCGCAGACAGCCCGAAACCCGGGUUCAAAUCCCGGCCGGGGCA
Non-coding RNA from Thermocladium sp. ECH_B, 92 nucleotides. NCBI's taxonomy places the organism in Archaea, Thermoproteati, Thermoproteota, Thermoprotei, Thermoproteales, Thermoproteaceae. The record is from Rfam.